GAUGAACGCUGGCGGCGUGCCUAAUACAUGCAAGUCGAGCGAACAGACGAGGAGCUUGCUCCUCUGACGUUAGCGGCGGACGGGUGAGUAACACGUGGAUAACCUACCUAUAAGACUGGGAUAACUUCGGGAAACCGGAGCUAAUACCGGAUAAUAUAUUGAACCGCAUGGUUCAAUAGUGAAAGACGGUUUUGCUGUCACUUAUAGAUGGAUCCGCGCCGCAUUAGCUAGUUGGUAAGGUAACGGCUUACCAAGGCAACGAUGCGUAGCCGACCUGAGAGGGUGAUCGGCCACACUGGAACUGAGACACGGUCCAGACUCCUACGGGAGGAAGCAGUAGGGAAUCGUCCGCAAUGGGCGAAAGCCUGACGGAGCAACGCCGCGUGAGUGAUGAAGGUCUUCGGAUCGUAAAACUCUGUUAUUAGGGAAGAACAAAUGUGUAAGUAACUAUGCACGUAUUGACGGUACCUAAUCAGAAAGCCACGGCUAACUACGUGC
RNAcentral lists this ribosomal RNA (498 nucleotides) under uncultured bacterium. RNAcentral's name for it is "partial 16S ribosomal RNA". It matches the Rfam family "Bacterial small subunit ribosomal RNA", at positions 28 to 508 of the family's 1533-position model. The record is from RNAcentral.